This 73-nucleotide transfer RNA is filed under the name Sarcophilus harrisii (Tasmanian devil). It matches the Rfam family "tRNA". From Rfam's summary of the family: Transfer RNA (tRNA) molecules are approximately 80 nucleotides in length. Their secondary structure includes four short double-helical elements and three loops (D, anti-codon, and T loops). Lineage: Eukaryota; Metazoa; Chordata; Mammalia; Dasyuromorphia; Dasyuridae. The record is from Rfam by way of RNAcentral.
AUCUAGGUGGCACAAUGGAUAGAGCACCAGCUCUGAAGUCAGGAGGACCUGAGUUCAAAUCUGAGCCCAGAUG